GUCCAGAGCGGUUGAGGAGCCUGUUCACAGUCACAUAGUAGUUCAGAGGACUCACCCCUAGUCUUGGAGUCAGAAGUUUUUCUACUAAGCUAACAUUUUGGAGUGUUUUAUGGAGAAAGGGCUGUAAGGCUGCAUCUUGUCAAGGGUUCCAAAUAUGCACAUUUCAAGGGUGUGCCCAGGAGUCCCAGAGUAAGCCUCUUCCCCAUAUCAGUCUCUUUAACAGACUGUGUGAACUUGUCUGGACUUAUUUCACUCUUUUGGACAAUUUGUGAUCUUUGCCCUGGGUACUUGGGGCUCUGUGACAAGGAGCUGAUAGUGAAUUAGGCUCAUCUGCCUCCUCCUGGCACAACCACUAGCCUCAACAAAGUCAAAGCAUUUUCUCUGACCAAUCCCCCUGCCUGCAGUGCUUUCCUUCCUAAUCUCCACCUCCCCUAGCUUCCUUCAAGUCUCAGGCAAAGACCCACCUUCUACAAGAAGUCUCUCCCAUGUCUCCCUACCCUUAUUGCUUUUCCUCUGAGACCAUUCCCAACCUUUCCUGUUUACAGUAUAUCUUGUUUUUGUAUGAUUAUUUGCAUGUUGUCUCCCCUCCCCCAACUAGAUUAAAAUCCCUCUAGAGAGCAGAGACUGGGUCUUUUUCUUUCUUUUUUUUUUGUUUCUAUAUCUUCCUUCUUUCCUUUCUUUCUCUUCCUUCCCUUCUUUCUCUCUUCCUUCCUUUCUCCCUUUCUUCCUUCCUUCUUUCUUCUCUCCUUCCUUCCUUUCUUUCUCUCUUCCUUCCUUUCUCCCUUUCUUCCUUCCUUCUUUCUUCUCUCCUUCCUUCCUUCCUUUCUCUUUCUUCCUUCCUUCUUUCUUCUCUCCUUCCUUCCUUUCUCUUUCUUCCUUCCUUCUUCUCUCCUUCCUUCCUUCCUUUCUCUUUCUUCCUUCCUUCUUUUUUCUCUCCUUCCUUCCUUCCUUUCCCUAGCACUUAGCAGCAGAUCUGCCACAUAAUAAAUACUUUUUAUUUGUUUGUUUAAACCCUUACCUUCCAUUUUAUAAUUGAUACUGUGUAUUGGUUCCAAGGCAAAAGAGUUGUAAGGGCUGGCAAUGUGGGCUAAAGGACUUGCCCAGGAUCACAUAGCUGGGAAGUGUCUGAGGUCAGAUUUGAACCUAGGACCUCCCAUCUUUAGGCCUGGCUCUCUAUCCACUGAGCUACCCAGAUGCCCCCCAAUAAAUGCUUUUUAAAUGCUUAUUGGCUGAUUAAC
Molecule: long non-coding RNA, 1238 nt
Filed under: Monodelphis domestica (gray short-tailed opossum)
Lineage: Eukaryota; Metazoa; Chordata; Mammalia; Didelphimorphia; Didelphidae
Description: lncRNA (ENSMODG00000043131.1)
Source: RNAcentral